Molecule: ribosomal RNA, 404 nt
Filed under: uncultured bacterium
Lineage: Bacteria
Description: bacterial SSU rRNA
Rfam family: Bacterial small subunit ribosomal RNA
Source: RNAcentral
UGGGGAAUAUUGGACAAUGGGCGCAAGCCUGAUCCAGCAAUGCCGCGUGAGUGAUGAAGGCCUUCGGGUUGUAAAGCUCUUUCGCACGCGACGAUAAUGACGGUAGCGUGAGAAGAAGCCCCGGCUAACUUCGUGCCAGCAGCCGCGGUAAUACGAAGGGGGCUAGCGUUGUUCGGAAUUACUGGGCGUAAAGGGCGCGUAGGCGGCGCAUCAAGUCAGACGUGAAAGCCCCGGGCUUAACCUGGGAAUUGCGUUUGAUACUGAUGUGCUUGAGUUCGGGAGAGGUGAGUGGAAUUCCCAGUGUAGAGGUGAAAUUCGUAGAUAUUGGGAAGAACACCGGUGGCGAAGGCGGCUCACUGGACCGACACUGACGCUGAGGCGCGAAAGCGUGGGGAGCAAACAGG